UGCAGGCCAGAAUGUCCAAGGAUACCUAUCAGACAGCAGGCAUUUAAUCUACAGUUGGAGAUUGAAAUCAGAAACUUGGAAACUUCCUCACAAGGACCUUUGAUGAUGGGUGUUUAAAAAAACUUGGAAUGAGAACUUCUGAGAAGAUGGUGGAAUGGUGAGCAGCAGAGAAACAGUCUCUCUGA
Molecule: non-coding RNA, 185 nt
Organism: Heterocephalus glaber (naked mole-rat)
Lineage: Eukaryota; Metazoa; Chordata; Mammalia; Rodentia; Bathyergidae
Source: Rfam